Molecule: long non-coding RNA, 1268 nt
Organism: Halichondria panicea
Lineage: Eukaryota; Metazoa; Porifera; Demospongiae; Suberitida; Halichondriidae
Exons: 3
Source: RefSeq, a predicted model, not a curated record
AGCUUCAUUGCCCACCAAAUCAUGUGAUGAAUGCUAGAACUAGGGCUGCAUCCUACUAGCAUCAAGUAUCAGCACAAAAUGGAGACCAGGCCUCCUUUAUAUCAACAAGGUGUCCAUCAAGUGGCCUCACCCACUGCCCCUGGAUACCACCCAUAUCUGGGAAAUGUUCAGCAGCUAGAAAACCGUGGCGAGAGAAAUAAUGAUGACAACAAUCAGCAGUCCGAGAAUAACUCAGACAUAAUACUUCCAAUAGACCCAGGAGAUGUCCCACAACAAAAAUAUCUCAAUCUUGAGUUUGAUGCGGUCUUCCAUGAGCACAAGAAGACAAGUUUGGCAAAGCCGUUGCAUGACAUCACCGAAAUUGUCUACAAGUGGACGAAGCUCAUCACCUAUCACGCCUUUGUCUUUGUGAUUGGUAUUCCACUAAUGAUAGUUUAUGCUCUGCUAAAUGGCAUAAUGGCAUUCCUCUACUCGUGGAUUUGGAGCCCUGUUUUUCGUCUCUAUAUUUUCUGGAUGGCAGCCAUUAUACCCCUGAUCACCAUGCCACUUGUGACUAUCUACAGGCCUUUCGUAGAUGUGACAGCUCGCUGCCUCAGCCAAAUCCGUAUGAAAGCAGCCCUCGAUGGAAAAGGAUUUGUUCAAAAUGUAUAAUAGGGACUCUUUUUCUGUAAUACUUUGAGACAGUCUUAACAAUAAUUAUGAAUACCAUAAGCUAUACAGAUCUAGAUGAUGAAUGUCUGAUUUUAGAGAGUAUAGCUCUAGGCAGUCUGAACAGAGAGCGUAUCAGCAUUAGAGGACUUACUCUCCUCAGUCUGGAUCGGAAGAGAUGCCACAGGAGGGGAGCCAUGAGGAGACUCACAGUCGCUGUGCUCAGUAUUACCAAGUACACCUGCAUGGGAAUAGUACUGCAUUUAAACCGUGAUUGAAAACUUUAUUAGAAUAAUUAUGGUCAAAGUGUUAUAUAGUGCAGUGAGUCUACCCACCACAGGCUUCGGUGCAUCCCCAACAGAGGAACUAACCAUAGCCAGUAAUUACACAUGCAAGCAGCGACUAUGAUAAUUGGUAACAAGAGCAUAACUCUGAGCCCUCCUACACAAGAUAGCUCCACGACUAUAAAAGCAAGCCUCACAACUACGAGAUUACGAUUCCCAUGACUACAAAGGAGACAGAAGUGCCUGAGGUGCCUGAGGUCCAGCACCACGACACUAACAGUAUCAGAGAUGAUGAGUCAGAAUUGGAUGUAGUAGAUCAUAAGUCACCAAGAGAUG